This 232-nucleotide ribosomal RNA is filed under the name Neisseria meningitidis. RNAcentral describes it as "partial 23S ribosomal RNA". It matches the Rfam family "Bacterial large subunit ribosomal RNA", at positions 1 to 233 of the family's 2925-position model. The record is from RNAcentral. Lineage: Bacteria; Pseudomonadati; Pseudomonadota; Betaproteobacteria; Neisseriales; Neisseriaceae.
AGUCAAGUGAAUAAGUGCAUCAGGUGGAUGCCUUGGCGAUGAUAGGCGACGAAGGACGUGUAAGCCUGCGAAAAGCGCGGGGGAGCUGGCAAUAAAGCUAUGAUCCCGCGAUGUCCGAAUGGGGAAACCCACUGCAUUCUGUGCAGUAUCCUAAGUUGAAUACAUAGACUUAGAGAAGCGAACCCGGAGAACUGAACCAUCUAAGUACCCGGAGGAAAAGAAAUCAACCGAG